CGGACCGAGUACGGGUGCCGGGCAGGCUCUUACGGAAGUCCAUUCGCCAUUGGGAGGGCCGCAGAGGCUGCUCUGUGCCCUUGUUGCUGCGGGCCUCUUCCUGGGUCAUUCCCGGAGCAGGACCGGACUGGGGCUGACGCCAGGGCUCCCCGCUGGCCGCCUCGGCGCCUGUGUGACCUCCUCGCCGGCGGGAUGUGGCGAGUUCGCCGGGCUGCCGUGGCCUGUGAGGUCUGCCAGUCUUUAGUGAAACGCAGCUCUGGAACGAAAGGAUGUUUACCACUACAAAAACUACAUCUGGUUUCACGAAGUAUUUAUCAUACACAUCAUCCUACCUUAAAGCUUCAAAGACCCCAAUUAAGGACAUCACUGCAGCAGUUCUCUUCUCUAACUAGCCUUCCUUUACGUAAACUGAAACUUUCUCCGGUUAAAUAUGGCUACCAGCCCCACAGGAAUUUUUGGCCAGCCAGAUUAGCAGCAAGACUCUUGAAACUCCGGUAUCUCAUACUCGGAUCUGCUGUUGGGGGUGGCUAUACAGCCAAAAAGACUUUUGAUCAGUGGAAAGACAUGAUACCUGACCUUAGUGACUAUAAAUGGAUUGUACCUGACAUCGUGUGGGAGAUUGAUGAGUACAUUGAUUUGGAGAAAAUUAGAAAAGCACUUCCUAAUUCAGAGGACCUUGCAAAAUUGGCACCUGACUUUGACAAGAUUGCUGAAAGCCUCAGCUUACUAAAGGACUUUUUCACCACAGGUCACAAAUUGGUUAGUGAAGUCAUAGAAGCUUCUGACCUACUUCUCUUGUUAGGUUCACCUGGAGAAACGGCCUUUAGAGCGACAGAUCCCGGAUCUGAAAGUGACAAGCGUUAUAGAAAGGGUCUGCUUGGUGAGCUCAUUCUCUUACAACAGCAAAUUCAAGAGCAUGAAGAGGAAGCACGCAGAGCUGCUGGCCAGUAUAGCGCGAGCUAUGCCCAACAGAAGCGCAAGGUGUCAGACAAAGAGAAAAUUGACCAGCUUCAAGAAGAGCUUCUGCAUACUCAGUUAAAGUACCAGAGAAUCUUGGAACGGCUAGAAAAGGAGAACAAAGAAUUGAGAAAAUUAGUAUUACAGAAAGAUGACAAAGGCAUCCAUCAUAGAAAGCUUAAGAAAUCUUUGAUUGAUAUGUAUUCUGAAGUUCUUGAUGUUCUGUCUGAUUAUGAUGCCAGUUAUAAUACACAAGAUCAUCUGCCAAGGGUUGUUGUGGUUGGAGACCAAAGUGCUGGAAAAACGAGUGUGUUGGAAAUGAUUGCUCAGGCACGAAUAUUUCCCCGAGGGUCUGGGGAGAUGAUGACACGUUCUCCAGUGAAGGUGACUCUCAGUGAAGGCCCUCAUCAUGUGGCCUUAUUUAAAGAUAGUUCUCGGGAGUUUGAUCUUACUAAAGAGGAAGAUCUUGCAGCAUUAAGACAUGAAAUAGAACUCCGAAUGCGGAAAAAUGUGAAAGAAGGCUGUACUGUCAGUCCAGAGACCAUAUCCUUAAAUGUAAAAGGUCCUGGACUACAGAGGAUGGUGCUUGUUGACCUACCAGGUGUGAUUAAUACUGUGACAUCAGGCAUGGCUCCCGACACAAAGGAAACUAUUUUCAGUAUCAGCAAAGCUUACAUGCAGAACCCUAAUGCCAUCAUACUAUGUAUUCAAGAUGGAUCUGUGGAUGCUGAACGCAGCAUUGUUACAGACUUGGUCAGUCAAAUGGACCCUCAUGGAAGAAGGACGAUUUUCGUCUUGACCAAAGUAGACCUGGCAGAGAAGAACGUGACCAGCCCCAGCAGGAUUCAGCAGAUAAUUGAAGGAAAACUCUUCCCAAUGAAAGCUCUAGGUUAUUUUGCUGUUGUAACAGGAAAAGGAAACAGCUCUGAAAGCAUUGAAGCUAUAAGGGACUAUGAAGAAGAAUUUUUUCAGAAUUCAAAACUCCUAAAGACAAGCAUGCUAAAGGCACACCAGGUGACUACAAGAAAUCUAAGCCUUGCUGUAUCAGACUGCUUUUGGAAAAUGGUACGAGAGUCAGUUGAACAACAGGCUGAUAGUUUCAAAGCAACACGUUUUAACCUUGAAACUGAGUGGAAGAAUAACUAUCCUCGCCUGCGAGAACUUGACCGGAAUGAACUAUUUGAAAAAGCUAAAAAUGAAAUCCUCGAUGAAGUUAUCAGUCUGAGCCAGGUUACCCCAAAACAUUGGGAGGAAAUCCUUCAGCAGUCUUUGUGGGAAAGAGUAUCAACUCAUGUGAUUGAAAACAUCUAUCUUCCAGCUGCACAGACCAUGAAUUCUGGGACUUUUAAUACGACAGUGGAUAUCAAGCUUAAACAGUGGACUGAUAAGCAGCUUCCUAAUAAAGCAGUCGAGGUAGCUUGGGAGACCUUACAAGAAGAAUUUUCCCGCUUCAUGACAGAACCAAAAGGAAAAGAACAUGAUGACAUAUUUGAUAAACUCAAAGAGGCUGUUAAGGAAGAAAGUAUUAAACGUCACAAGUGGAAUGACUUUGCAGAGGACAGCUUGAGGGUUAUUCAACACAAUGCUUUAGAAGAUCGAUCCAUAUCUGAUAAACAGCAAUGGGAUGCAGCUAUUUAUUUUAUGGAAGAGGCUCUUCAGGCUCGUCUCAAGGAUACUGAAAAUGCAAUUGAAAAUAUGGUAGGUCCAGAUUGGAAAAAGAGGUGGUUAUACUGGAAGAAUCGAACUCAAGAACAGUGUGUUCACAAUGAAACCAAGAAUGAGCUGGAGAAGAUGCUGAAGUGUAAUGAGGAGCACCCAGCUUACCUUGCGAGUGAUGAGAUAACUACAGUCCGAAAGAACCUUGAAUCACGAGGAGUAGAAGUAGACCCAGGCUUGAUUAAGGAUACUUGGCACCAAGUUUAUAGAAGACAUUUCUUAAAAACAGCUCUAAACCAUUGUAACCUUUGUCGAAGAGGCUUCUAUUACUACCAGAGGCAUUUUGUUGAUUCUGAGUUGGAAUGCAAUGAUGUUGUCCUGUUUUGGCGAAUACAGCGUAUGCUUGCUAUCACCGCAAAUACUUUAAGACAGCAACUUACAAACACUGAAGUCAGGCGAUUAGAGAAAAAUGUUAAAGAGGUAUUGGAAGAUUUUGCUGAAGAUGGUGAGAAGAAGGUAAAGUUGCUUACUGGCAAACGAGUUCAACUGGCCGAAGACCUCAGUAAAAAAAGUUAGAGAAAUUCAAGAAAAACUUGAUGCAUUUAUUGAAGCUCUUCAUCAGGAGAAAUAAAUUAUAAUAAAAUCCUACUCAUCAUAUAAUCACCUCUGCAUACAUCUGAAGAAAGAAAACUCGAAAGUCUUUUGUCUUGCCUUUUUUUCUUCUGCUAUUCUGCCUUUCUAAACAUAAAAUAAAGUCACGGAAUAAAAAUGAUUUAUGUGUGUUAGAGGCACUUUAACAGUCAGCUGCCUUUUGAAUGGAAGAAAAGUGGAAAUGCCAUUAACAUUCUGUUUUAUUGUAUUAAAGUGAGAAACUGGGAUAAUUUAAGUGGUGUGGCCAUUAGGCUGUCCUUGAAGAUAAGAAACUUGCACUCCUGCUUGUUGUCUCAUUUCUGGUGGCACGAGUUCAACUAACUCAUUAGCCAGCGUUACUUGAUGUAAUUUCUUUUCCAGAGAAAGAAUGUUAGGUGUUUUGAAAUAAAACUUAUGGCAAUUUUCUAAAGGCUAUCAAUUGUAUAUAAAAUGAUGGUAACCUGCUGAGUUGUUGUCUGUAUCUGCAAUGUUCUGUGUACAGAAGCUAUUUGACCAGGAUAGCUCAGUUUAUAUUUACUUGAAAGAAAAUGAGUUAACAGAAAAACUCUUCAAAUAGGUUAAUUUGUAUUACAAUUCUGUGUACAUUCAGUGAAAGAUUUCAACCCUUCAUUGACAGCUUAGAAGUUGCCUUAGAAGCUAAGUCAGUAGCAGCUUACCUAUUUGAUUCAGUUGAUGUUUUUGUACUUUCUCUAUCCAUUUGAAUUCAUUCAUUUUGGAUGUUUUAUACUUGAGCUAGGCUUUCUUGUUGACAGUGUUUUGUUUUUUUUUUUUUUUAACCUGUUGACAGAGCUGUUGGGUUGUGACGUAAGAUGGGGAAGAUUAAGAAUAAUCAGUUGACUAAUUCAUUUAGACUAUUGUCAAACAUUUCAUUGAGGCCUCAGGAAAAGCCUUCUUUCAUAAAACUGUGUUUUAAAUGGAAAUUAUUUCAACAGUUAGAAUUAUGUUGACCAUUCCCUUCUUCCCUGGAUGUUUAAAGAAAAAUAUAAAGUUUAAUUCAUUGCAGUUCAAUUAUGGUAAUAUCCUCACACCAUUUUCAUGUGGUUUUUUUUUUUUUUUUUUUUUAAUAUUUUGUAAUGGCUAAAGGACUUUAAAGCAAAGAAAUAGGCCAUUUUUUACUUUCAAUGUCUUUGCCAUUUAACUCUGCUUCUUGCUGCCUUUUCAUUACACCUUUAGUAUUCUAAUAAAAGUGCCCAGUUUUGUGACAGUUUUUAUUUUACAGUUUACUUAAUUUUUAAGUUUCUUUAGAAUUAUGUUCUGGUAACAGUUCCCACAUUUUUUUAAAUUUAACUUCAGUACAUUCUUUAUUGUGAUCUCUAUCAAGGUCUGACACAAUAUGCAAGGUUAAAGGAUACCACAAAAUAUUUCAGAAAUUGAAAAUUCAGGAAUUAUUUGUUAUAUACUGUUUGAUAGGAUGUAGAUGCAGUUUUAAGCAGAGAGUAUCAAUAUAUUUUAUUUGGGAGCUGAGUCUUCAAGAACAUUUCUGUAUCCUUCAGACCUGGGGACAGUGGGUGGGUGGGAGGGUGGGUGAAUGGAGAGGGAAUAGGGUGCCCCGAUGUUCUGUACAAAGGUUAAGAGGUGACCUUACUGGUUAACUCCCUCUAACUAUUGCUGGCCAUUGAGUGAAUACCCUCACUGAAGCAGACAUCAUUCAGUUAGUAAUUCAUAUUAUUGCAGUUGUAAAACACAGCAACUUUACAACUACAAAUGUAUUUCUAAAAAAAAAAGGAAAAGGACCGUGUUUAUUUCUGUGAGCUAUGGAUAGGGAAAAAAGCGCUCAGCUGUGUUUCUACAGAUUUCCCCCAAGCAAAAGGCUGAUGUUAAGUCAGUGCUUUUAUUGCAUCUCUUUCUAUAAAUUUAAGAAGGGGUGGUUAAAGGAGAUGUCUCCAUUUCUUUGAGAUUGGUAUUUGUGAUUUAAAUAUAUAAAUAAAUAAUAAAAUUUUAUUAAAAAUCCCAUUUUAGAGUCCAGACAUUUCCCUGUCCUACUUGGUAAUAUGACUUCUUUCAUGGAUUAUAUAUUGUUUUCCUUUAUGGUAGAUCUCACACUAAGCAUGCUUCCCUCCCCACUCAAAAGCUAGCUAUUUCUUAAAAUUGGAUGUUUUAAAAGAAAAAAAAAAAAAACCUCUCAAAUUCUCAGCAGUAAACUGUGUUGUGUCAGUAGUUCAGAAAUCACAAAUGAUUCAAAUGCAAACAAAUCACUACACAAAAGUAUAAAAAUGUAACAAGUAGAAACAAAUUCAGUAUACAAAAGUUAAAUUCUAAUGAGACCAGGAGUCAUUUUGUUUUUCACCACAGAAUUUGCAAGGAAUAGAACGAACAAAGCUCUGUACUGAAGACUGAACAACUGUAAAUAGAUUGUAUCUAAAAUUUACUCAAUCCAGGUAUCAAUUUAAGAAAUCAAGCUAUGUAGGCAGUGAAUGAUAGGAAAUGAGCGGUUCCUGCAGCUUCACGGUUGAACCAUAGUUCAGCUGAGCUGUAGUUACAAGCGGAGCAGUCAGCCUUUCUUAGCUGCUUAAUUAUGUCCUCUUUUCUCUGUAUUAUCCCCUCUUUCCAGGCUUUACUCCAACACACUCCUUCCCACAAAUUAUUGAGCCUCCAGAUACAAAUGAAUAGUGUAAUAAUGAGUAGGGAACGUUGCAGAGAGUGGUAUUUCCUGACCUUAUAAUUUGGGAAUUUUGCAUAUGAUAUUAAGAUUCAGAGUGUAGGUUUAAAAGGUAAAUCCCUUAACCAGUCAAUAAUUUUAUUUUUAUUUAUUUUAGAUGUAUUUAUGUGCUAAAAGAAAUAUGUUUUAGUUUUCCAAUAAAGGGGAUCAAAGUUUUGUGGUUUUUGUUGUUUUUUUUUUUCAGUUUUGGUUCUCUAAGCUGGUAUAUGCUAUAGUUUCAGGAACUUCAGCAGUAUAGAAAUGUGCUUAUAAAUAUGCUUACCUUUUGAAUAAUCAUGGCUUUAUGUUUAAAUAUUUAAAACUUAGCCUUGUUUUUACUUGUGCACUAUGAAUGAACUUUGUAUUAUUUUUAAAAAUGUUCACACUAUAUGUAGAUGUUACUGCAAUUUAUAUUUUGCCUGUGCUUGAUCUAAAAUCAUUGGUGUAGAUGAGUAAUUAAAGACACUGAAAUCAUGUUAUUGGA
Molecule: RNA transcript, 6386 nt
Organism: Cervus elaphus (red deer)
Lineage: Eukaryota; Metazoa; Chordata; Mammalia; Artiodactyla; Cervidae
Gene: OPA1
Gene name: OPA1 mitochondrial dynamin like GTPase
Exons: 31
Source: RefSeq, a predicted model, not a curated record